ACUAUAAAGCUAGCUUCACUCACACCAACAUCAUCCAAAUAUUAAACUGAAAUUAACCAAAUCAUUUACCCUCCUCCCAAGUAUAGGUGAUAGAAAAGAAUAUUAGAAGCAAUAGAAAAAGUACCGCAAGGGAAGGCUGAAAAAGAAAUUAAAUAAUUCAUUAAAGUAUAAAAAAGCAGGAAUUAAAACCCGUACCUUUUGCAUCAUGGUCUAGCAAGACUAACAUAAGCAAAUAAACCUAGAGCUUAUUACCCCGAAAUUAGACGAGCUAUUCUAAAACAGCUUUUAAUUUAGAGCGAACCCGUCUCUGUAGCAAAAGAGUGGGAAGAUUUUUUAAUAGUGGUGAAAUGCCUAACGAGUCUAAUAAUAGCUGGUUGCUCAAUAAACAAGUACAAGCUUAGCCUUAAAUUUUAUUUAAAUCAUCUACAAUUAAAAUAAAAACUUAAGAGUUACUCAAAGAGGGUACAGCCCCUUUGAAAAAGAAGACAAUCUACAAAAAUGGGUAAUGCUCACAAUUAAUAAAAUUACAUACAAACGUUGACCCAAAAGCAGCCAUCAUCAAAGAACGCGUCAAAGCCCAUGUAAUACAAACAUUAAGAUCCCGACAUAAAAACAAAACCCAUAUUUAACAUUGAGCCUAUUUAUAACCAUAUAAUUAAGUUAAUGCUAGAACUAGUAAUAAGAAUUAGAAAUUCUCUACCGCAUAAGUGUAAGUCAAUAUAACAACUACUGACAUUCACCGAUAAGUAAAAUAAAAAUUAAACAAGGACACUUUACUCUAACUUAUCGUUAAUCCAACACAGGAGCGCGUACAGAAAGACAUAAAGAUAGAGAAGGAAUUCAGCAAACAUUAAGCUCCGCCUGUUUACCAAAAACAUCACCUCUAGCAAUCAAAACAUAUAUUAGAGGCAUCGCCUGCCCAGUGAUAUAUCAUUAAACGGCCGCGGUACCCUGACCGUGCUAAGGUAGCAUAAUCACUUGUCUUUUAAAUAAAGACUAGAAUGAACGGCCAAACGAGAACUUAACUGUCUCCUCUAUCUAGUCAACGAAACUGAUCUAUCAGUACAAAAGCUGAUAUAUAAUUAUAAGACGAGAAGACCCUAUGAAGCUUUAAACCACGCAAACAACUGUUAUUUACAAAAAUUUACAAUUAUGAUUAUGCUGCUUUUGGUUGGGGCGACCACGGAGAAAAUAAAACCUCCGAGACUACUAAAUCUAGACUGACAUGUCAAACAAUAAAAAUUUUACAACUUGACCCAAUUUAUUGACUAACGAAAUAAGUUACUCUAGGGAUAACAGCGCAAUCUUCUUCAAGAGCCCCUAUCGACAAGAAGGUUUACGACCUCGAUGUUGGAUCAGGAUAUCCUAACAGUGCAACCGCCGUUGAAGGUUUGUUUGUUCAACAAUUAAAAUCCUACGUGAUCUGAGUUCAGACCGGAGUAAUCCAGGUCAGUUUCUAUCUAUAUAAAUUUUUUUUCCAGUACGAAAGGACCGAAAAGACAAGGCCAAUAUUAUUAACACGCCCUUAAAUAAAACUAUGAACACAUCUAAAUUACUAAUUAAAAUACACCUCAAAAUAAGAGACUA
RNAcentral lists this ribosomal RNA (1587 nucleotides) under Crotaphatrema lamottei. RNAcentral describes it as "16S ribosomal RNA". It matches the Rfam family "Bacterial large subunit ribosomal RNA", at positions 216 to 2831 of the family's 2925-position model. Lineage: Eukaryota; Metazoa; Chordata; Amphibia; Gymnophiona; Scolecomorphidae. The record is from RNAcentral.